AACGAACGCUGGCGGCAUGCCUAACACAUGCAAGUCGAACGAGACCUUCGGGUCUAGUCGCGCACGGGUGCGUAACGCGUGGGAACCUGCCCUUAGGUUCGGAAUAACUCUCCGAAAGGGGUGCUAAUACCGGAUAAUGUCUUCGGACCAAAGAUUUAUAGCCUUUGGAUGGGCCCGCGUUGGAUUAGCUAGUUGGUAGGGUAAAAGCCUACCAAGGCGACGAUCCAUAGCUGGUCUGAGAGGAUGAUCAGCCACACUGGGACUGAGACACGGCCCAGACUCCUACGGGAGGCAGCAGUGGGGAAUAUUGGACAAUGGGCGAAAGCCUGAUCCAGCAAUGCCGCGUGAGUGAUGAAGGCCUUAGGGUUGUAAAGCUCUUUUACCCGGGAUGAUAAUGACAGUACCGGGAGAAUAAGCUCCGGCUAACUCCGUG
This 433-nucleotide ribosomal RNA is filed under the name uncultured bacterium. Its description in RNAcentral is "partial 16S ribosomal RNA". It matches the Rfam family "Bacterial small subunit ribosomal RNA", at positions 29 to 507 of the family's 1533-position model. The record is from RNAcentral.